AUGAACGCUGGCGGCGUGCCUAAUACAUGCAAGUCGAGCGAACAGACGAGGAGCUUGCUCCUCUGACGUUAGCGGCGGACGGGUGAGUAACACGUGGAUAACCUACCUAUAAGACUGGGAUAACUUCGGGAAACCGGAGCUAAUACCGGAUAAUAUAUUGAACCGCAUGGUUCAAUAAUGAAAGACGGUUUUGCUGUCACUUAUAGAUGGAUCCGCGCCGCAUUAGCUAGUUGGUAAGGUAACGGCUUACCAAGGCAACGAUGCGUAGCCGACCUGAGAGGGUGAUCGGCCACACUGGAACUGAGACACGGUCCAGACUCCUACGGGAGGCAGCAGUAGGGAAUCUUCCGCAAUGGGCGAAAGCCUGACGGAGCAACGCCGCGUGAGUGAUGAAGGUCUUCGGAUCGUAAAACUCUGUUAUUAGGGAAGAACAAAUGUGUAAGUAACUAUGCACGUCUUGACGGUACCUAAUCAGAAAGCCACGGCUAACUACGUG
This 496-nucleotide ribosomal RNA is filed under the name uncultured bacterium. Its description in RNAcentral is "partial 16S ribosomal RNA". It matches the Rfam family "Bacterial small subunit ribosomal RNA", at positions 29 to 507 of the family's 1533-position model. The record is from RNAcentral.